Molecule: small RNA, 134 nt
Filed under: Vibrio hippocampi
Lineage: Bacteria; Pseudomonadati; Pseudomonadota; Gammaproteobacteria; Vibrionales; Vibrionaceae
Description: His_leader
Rfam family: Histidine operon leader
About the family: At least 6 amino acid operons are known to be regulated by attenuation. In each a leader sequence of 150-200 bp is found upstream of the first gene in the operon.
Source: RNAcentral
UCAUCACCAUCAUCACCCAGUCUAGACUUUCGGGAGAUGAGCGCAUACCCGAGAGUCAGUAAAACUCUCGGAGGUUGGAUUCUAAAUGACCAAAUUUGACCCUCGGGAGCCCAAACUCUCGAGGGUUUUUUAUU